AUUUUUAGUAUAGACGGGUUUUCACUGUGUUGGCCAGGCUGGUCUCGAACUUGUGACCUCAAGCAAUCCACCCACCUUGGCCUCCCAAAGUGCAGGGGUUACAGGCAUAAGCCACCGCACCCAGCCUGCCAUUCUUGUCAGUCUUAUUCUCUCAGCCACAUCAGUCAUCAAUUGCUCAAUAAAUAUGGAUUAGGCACCUGCUAUGGGCUAUGUGUUGGCCCCUGGUAAUACAAAGAUGAAAAAGACAAGCCCUGACCAAGGGUCAUGUACAGCAUGUAACCUGUGUGGACAGCUACCCAGGCAGCCUUGGCCUGAGGAUGGCAGGGGUGAGGCUGGGGCUGGCACAGAGGAGCUUAAACAGGUGGAGUCUUAAAAAACAGGAAAGAGUCCUUCCAGCGGAGGCGGAGCAGGGGUGUUCAAGGCCCAGGGCUGAGGCACGCAGCUGAUGGUGUGUGGCAGGGCAAGCAUUUGCUGCUGAGUCUCCUGGGAGGGGAAAGGGUGGUGAGAGGGGCAGCCUGCAAGUAUGUGCAGGCCCCUUUGCAGCUGCUAAUGGACCCAGACCUCAUCCUGAAGGACAGGCAUGAAGCUGGGAGGGCCACCGCGGGUUUGCCCUGUGGCCACACAGCAGGGGCCAGUAGGCAGCCCCCGGGAGCUGAGAACAGCUCCUGCUGGCCCUCGGUCCUACAAGCACCAGGACAUGACUUCUGCUAGCAAUCGCAUGAGGUGGAAAGCAAUCCUUCCCCAGUCCAGCCCCCAGAUGAGAACACAGCGGCCGACCUGAGCUGAGGACCCAGCUAAGCCUGGCCUUCUGGCCCACAGAAGCCUUGAGAUAACAGGCGGACGUCGUUUUAGGACACCCAGUUUGCGGUACGUAGGGAACUAACACGCGGGGCUCUGGCGGGCCUGGCGGCGUAGUGCGAUCUAGACGGGCAGGAAGUGGAGUGAGCGCAGCUAGCGGCUGGGACCAUAUCCCGGAGCGCUGCCUACGGCGGGAGGAGCCGCAAGGGCCGCGGGGUAGGGGACGGCUGGCACGGGCGUGCACGCGGCAGCGGCGGUGGUGGAGGCGGUGCCCGCCCAGCUAGGAGAGGCGUCGGUUCUCCUUCCGCGCUGAAGGCGGAGGCAGCGACUUCCUGUGGAGGCACGCGGUGGACGCCACGGAGGCUGGGGCUGGGGGUGGGCAGGGAGCGGCCUCAGGGACAAGUCUCCCCGCGCGCUGCCGCGACCUCCCCGCUGGGGGCCGGGAGCCAGGAGCCCACGCGGGUCGGUUCGGGAAAGCCUGGUGGGCGCAGCCUAAGUGACUGGGUCGGCUCCGGGACGCGCUGUGGGGGCGGGGCCUCGCGGG
Molecule: long non-coding RNA, 1342 nt
Filed under: Piliocolobus tephrosceles (Ugandan red Colobus)
Lineage: Eukaryota; Metazoa; Chordata; Mammalia; Primates; Cercopithecidae
Description: lncRNA (ENSPTEG00000026627.1)
Source: RNAcentral